UUAUCAGUGAGGUAUAUCCUUACCUGUUACUCCAUCCGUGGAGUUUCAGAGCAUGAUGAAUGGAGGUUCAUGAGAUAUGAUUAAUAUCUCCCUCUUGUAGGAACUGCAACACCCUACUUGAGCCAUUCUGAU
This is a small nucleolar RNA of Poeciliopsis prolifica (blackstripe livebearer), 132 nucleotides long. RefSeq annotates it as U8 small nucleolar RNA. The transcript has a single exon. Lineage: Eukaryota; Metazoa; Chordata; Actinopteri; Cyprinodontiformes; Poeciliidae. The record is from RefSeq and is a predicted model, not a curated record.